UUUAAAUUAGUUGACAAAAUAAACAUAUUUCGCAUUUGUUAACUACUUAUGUAAAUUUGGUUGACUUUGCUAGGGAAUUAAUGUGUAUAUGCAGAAAAUAAUGAAAUCGAAAGUUGUAUUUUGAUGAAGGAAAAAAUGUGAUGUCGAGCUUCACGGUGGACGAUUAUUUUAGUUAUUUAAAAAAAAGUAUAAUGUCAUUGUCAAUUUUUUUACAAGGGCAAAAAGAAAGACAUUAGCAAGUUGGCAGAAAAGAUAAUCUUUGGGAAAUAAUAGGGUAAUGAUAUAAAGGUCAGCGCAUGUUAACGAGACGGGAAGGAAAGUAAGUUAGCACAAAGGAACGUGAAUGUUUUAAGCGCACGAUAGUGGAGAAAAAGGUGGGAGAUGGAGUCAAUGAGUGGACAGAGAGAGACGAACGUGCGGUGGUGGGGAAGCCAGGGAGUUGACUUAAUAGUGAAUUAAUGAUCAUUUUGUUAAGUUGUGUAGUUUUUGUCAUUAUUAAUUACGACAAAUAAGUACUAGUUUAUCAAUUGUCUCUCCACUCAAUCACGGGUGAUAAAUAAAGCUGCCACCAUCUUCUUUAUUAUGGUUUCGGAUAAUUAAACAUAAACCAAAGAAAUAGAUGGUAGUGAUUUCUCCGAAUGAAAUAAAUGGUGGUUUAGUAAUAUUUUGCGAUAAUAAAGCGUAACUUCAUUUUGUUGCUAAUCAUAUGCUUUCUAUAAUAAUAUGUACAUACUGAAUGAAAAUAUCAGUGAGUGCCUUAUUUAAAAGAAUGAUUGGAAUGGCCGAGGCUGGAUAAGAUGCUGGUAAAUCAAAUGUUAUCAUCCAUAAAGAAACUGAAUUUUAUUCUACAGACUACAAUCCCCAGUGCCCUGCUUGGAAGUUAUGAUACAUUGACGACAUGUACAAGGCAUACGCACACUAUCAGAUAAAAAACAUUUACAGAGUUGUAGCUACAAAAGAUUGGCAGAAUUUAUUUUCUAAGCGUACGCAAAGCUUCUUCUUUUGACGAGAAUCAGAUCACAAGCCCCUAUACUGUUUACAGAAGAUCGUCAUUGGAAAUGUCAAAAUAUAUUCGGCUAUGAUAAUAGAUAGUGGCACAAUCCGGAACAAGAACUCCUGGAAUAUAAGGAUUUAUUACACAAACAAUUACUAACAUCCCUCAAAAUAAUUACAACAGCUUCUUACUAACCAUCUAAGCCAACAAAGAGAACCCACACACCGGCACUUCUUCCAGAGUAACAACCAAAUCUGGCGGCACGAGGAAGAACCAUCGAUGACAUCGUUCGAUAAGAGAAACCAAAGAUUUCCACCUCAUGUUCAUCAAACCGAGAAACCUUUACAUCCAUUUAACCGUACACCCAUUUAAUCAGAAAUCACAUAUAAGGAAGUGGUACGGCCUCGAGGUUCUUUCUCUGGCGAACAGUUACCCCUAAUCAGAUUGGGGAGCUUAAACAACUGUCUCACCUCCCCAUAGCUGACAAAACAAGCCUCCCCAACCGCAAAGACCACCUAUAUACCCAUUUUGUAGCACUAAGAGUGAAUCAUACCAGUUGAUAGCUAGAGCCUAGAUGGUUGUUUAUGAGUUAUGUACUUAGUCUCAAAUAGUAUGAAACCUUAAAUGAUGCUCACGUUCAUGGGGGUGUUUAUCUGUUUUUGGUUGAGGAAAACAAAUAUUUUUAUUUAUCCAAUUGUAUAAUGUGCACUUGCUCUUCGCACAGUCUUCUAUAACUCUUUUCAAAAAUGCUUGAGUUGACAAAUUCAGCCAUAAAGGCGGAUAAUGAAAGUGUGCACGAGGUUCUUAGUCAAAAAGCAAAAGAGGUGAAACCAACAAACGUUCUGAAACGUAAACAUUAGCCUAUUUGUUGGAACUGGAACAAAGAUGUUGAUGUUGGAACAUGGAAAACAUGAUACGUCAUUUAACAACACGUCUUUUAUCGACAUGAACUUAUGGAAACAAGCAAUAGCUCUUGAAAACAAACGAAAAUAAGUUGCAUUAAAAUAUGAAACUAUGUUUUCGUAAAAUGAUGAAUUGGAGUUUGGAUUUCAUGAAGCAAUUUGCUUUUUGUGACCCUUUGGAGGAAUUGACUACAUUCUCGUUGGUGCCAUUGGAAAUACUCAAUUCUCGUUGGUGCCAUUGGAAAUCAACACAAUAAAAAGGUUAGGUUCUCUCCAGCAGGUGACACAUCAGCAUUUUUAAGCUCUGUGGAGAGGACAUGUCAUUAAAUGAAAAAACUCAGGUAACCAAUCAAAACAUUUUGUAUCUCCACAAUCGGAAAUCAACACAAUCAGAUCGGGAGAAGCUCUCUCUCUUCCUCUUUCGAUUUAAUCACUGUCUCUCUUUCUCUUUUGCUUUGAAAUCGAACGAGGAUGGAGAAGAAGACAGCGAAGAAUACAGGUGCUGAAGAACUUCAGACCCAAUCACCACGCUCUUCUCCGCCUUCUCUUCACCACUCUCUUCUCCGGCUUCUCUUCACCACUCUCUUCUCUGGCUUCUCUUCUCCAUUUAGCUGCCGUCAAUGUCAACUUAGAGAGAUAGAGCUCAGCCAUGUUUCUCCUCCUUCCCUGUUGAUCUCUCUUCCUCCAUGUCACCUCUAUAUUGUAUUAGCGUGGAGAUUCAUUAGCAUCACCAGCCACCUCUCCUCAUCUCACCGGAGCAAUUGUCUCUCCCCGGGGAAGCCAUUUUUGUUGUGAUCCUUAUCAUUGUGGGAUCGUGACCAAAAUGAAAUGAGAAUUGAAACCGGAGCCGUCACGUUCCAUCAGGACCAGCCACCAAUCCGAGCCCCAUUAACCAUCCAUCACGGGAGAGCCGCCGUCGUGAUGUCACCACCUUUGCUUAUGGGUUUUGGUUAUGUCUUUGAGAUUUUAAUAAAAUUGUUAUCAGAUUAAGAGGGAGAUUUCGACCAUGAAACUCGUUCGUUAUCCUUGUGUUGUUCGUCUUUACGAGGUAAAGUUUUGUUCUUUCCUCUACUUUAUACUGAAAAGAUUAUAUCUAUCUUCAUAUAGAAGUUGAUUCAUUGCUGUUUAGGUUUCUAGCAGGUCGCACAAAUAUUUACAUUCUCUUGGAGUAUAAUACAUGUGGUGAACUGUUUAUAGAAUUGUGAAUUAUCUAGCUCUCGACUCAACUAUUUCAGGUGAUGAUAAUCUUUGGAAGACAUUGGUUAUCCACUUGUUACAUGUUAUAGGUUCGUAAUGAACGUAUUAGUGAAGCAAAAACUAGGAAGUACUUACACUAGCUUACCAAAGGAGUUGAUAGUAAAGGGGUCUACCACAGAGAUCUAAAGGUGGUUUCUUUUGCUGACAAUCAACAAUCUUUUCAAACAAAAUCUGGUUUUGGUUGUUUUUGUAGCCUGGAAAACUUCUGCUAGAUUCUCAAGGAAAUCUCAAGAUAUCUGAUUAUGGGCUCAGUGCAUUACCAGAACGAGUAAUGGUGGUUUCAGUUUAUUGUUUUACUUUCAUAUUGAAUUUUUAUCAACUAAUCAUCUUACUUGUAUCUUAAGGGAGUUACCAUUUUAAAGACAACUUGUGGAACUCCAAAUUAUGUUGUCUUUUAAGUGUUGAGUCAUAAGGGUUACAAUGGUGUCGUGGCAGAUGUAUGGUCAUGUGGGGUCAUCCUUUAUGUUCUGAGUCAUAACUCAUAAGAAUUACAACUGAGCCUUGUGAUGAGAACGACUCAUGUUCCAUUAUCUUAUAUUGCAGUAUGUUGUGUUUUAAGUUUUAACUAGAGGAAGAAUACAAAGUUAUAUUUCUAAACAAUUUUUUUUUCCUUUUAUUGCAUAGAAUCUAUUCUU
Long non-coding RNA from Brassica napus (rape), 3788 nucleotides. RefSeq lists it as uncharacterized. The transcript has 2 exons. The record is from RefSeq and is a predicted model, not a curated record. Lineage: Eukaryota; Viridiplantae; Streptophyta; Magnoliopsida; Brassicales; Brassicaceae.